CUGUUGCCAGUGAGAGAGGUCAUCAACGAUCUUCCAGAGGACGCCGUGGAGCACGCGGCGGUCGUGGUCGUGGCUCCCAAACCUCCACCAGAAGGCAUGAGGAGGACGUUGAACGAUUUUAUAUCGACAAUGACCUCCUCAUCCAUAUGGUGGAGGAGCGUACACCGUUGUGGGACCACACCGACCGCCGCCAUGCAGACCAUCAUCUAACACGGCUCCUCUGGAACGAGAUAUGUGCGGCCAUUCUGCCCAACUGGGAUGACCUCCGAGAAAGGCAACAGGGCCAAUGCCGAGAUACGAUCAUGGUUCGGUGGCGCUCAAUCAGGGACCGCUACAAGAAGGCCUUUAAUGAGGAACUUCGGCGCCCGAGUGGG
Long non-coding RNA from Bufo bufo (common toad), 374 nucleotides. RefSeq lists it as uncharacterized. The record is from RefSeq and is a predicted model, not a curated record. The transcript is spliced from 3 exons. NCBI's taxonomy places the organism in Eukaryota, Metazoa, Chordata, Amphibia, Anura, Bufonidae.